Molecule: ribosomal RNA, 251 nt
Filed under: Pleurotus eryngii var. ferulae
Lineage: Eukaryota; Fungi; Basidiomycota; Agaricomycetes; Agaricales; Pleurotaceae
Also listed under: 1 other name
Description: partial 28S ribosomal RNA
Rfam family: Eukaryotic large subunit ribosomal RNA
Source: RNAcentral
GUGCUAGAAACGAUGAUGUUGGUCCCGCACAUGUAACUAGUGUUAAAAUAGAGCUUUGCUCGUAAACCAAAUCAGGUGGACUCGGUUAACCUUGCGGAAAUGCUGGGUUGGCUCGUCUACGAAUUGUAAUAAUUAUAUGCGCGGGGGUGAAUCCUUUGCAGACGACUUGAAUGGGAACGGGGUACUGUAAGCGGUAGAGUAGCCUUGUUGCUACGAUCCGCUGAGGUUAAGCCCUUGUUCUAAAGAUUUGU